Molecule: ribosomal RNA, 464 nt
Filed under: uncultured bacterium
Lineage: Bacteria
Description: partial 16S ribosomal RNA
Rfam family: Bacterial small subunit ribosomal RNA
Source: RNAcentral
CUACGGGUGGCUGCAGUGGGGAAUAUUGGACAAUGGGGGAAACCCUGAUCCAGCAAUGCCGCGUGUGUGAAGAAGGCCUGCGGGUUGUAAAGCACUUUCGGUUGGGAGGACUGCUUCUAGCACUAAUAUUGUUGGAAGUUGACGUUACCUUCAGAAGAAGCACCGGCUAACUCCGUGCCAGCGGCCGCGGUAAUACGGAGGGUGCAAGCGUAAUCGGAAUUACUGGGCGUAAAGCGCGCGUAGGCGGCUAGAUCAGUCGGGUGUGAAAGCCCCGGGCUUAACCUGGGAACUGCAUCCGAUACUGUCUAGCUUGAGUACAGGAGAGGAGAGUGGAAUUCCACAUGUAGCGGUGAAAUGCGUAGAUAUGUGGAGGAACACCAAUGGCGAAGGCAGCUCUCUGGCCUGAUACUGACGCUGAGGUGCGAAAGCGUGGGGAGCAAACAGGAUUAGAUACCCCCGUAGUC